CUGAAUUGAUUUUCUCUAUAAUUUCAGUUAUUCCAUUAAUUUUCCUUUUAUUUUUUUUCUUGCAUCGGAAGUCAAAUCAGUGCGAAAAAGUUCAUCCAAUUCCAAAUCAAUGGCGACCGAUCAUCACAGCGUGCGACGAAAACGAUUUGGCGUAGUGGACGUACUGUCGAGUGUUGGUGAAUUUUUCUAACCGAGCAUUGAUGAACAAUGGAGAAUUUGAUCCAGAAAAAAUGGAAUUCAACUUUGCUGUUGCUAAUGGAGUUAAUUAAUAUGUUGAUCGAAGUCGAGAUAGUUGGGGAACAAUCGUGUCGUUGAUGCUGUUAUAUCGUGUCCAAUAUCUGGUGGAUGUUUCGCGGCAUCUCGCCAAAUAGAGGCCAAUUCGUUCAUUGGAGUUGAAAAGCAAACAGAAACAUUGGGACUGAUUGGGAUCGGAAAAUUAAUUUUUCCACGGUGCAAUUCAGAGUUAUGCAGCCAAUUUACACAUAUUCGAUUCGUUUUCAGGUCGUUUCAUUACUAUAUCAUCGUUGUCGUGGAAAUGGAGUUUGAUUAGUAAUGUAGAAUCUUGCCUUGGUGGUCCAUGGUGUAAAGUAUGCGCGCCACUACUGUUGCACGCUAGGUGUUUGAUGUAAUGUCUCUGCAUAAUUUGGUUACCCCCCUGCAUAGUCUUUCCAUUUUUUUUUUUCAAAAAAAAAAAAAAAAAAGAAAUUGAAAAGUCUCAAUUAAUCAUUUCUGGGAAUAAGAUUCAAUUAUCUUUAGACCAGUCGGGUGAUAAUCUCUAUUGUAAGCCAUAGGUUUGAAUCCCAUAUUACUCUUAAAGCCAAAAUUGUCUCUACUCUGCAUCGCACAUGCUUUGAUUCCAUAUGAUACAAUUACUUCAGAAGUUAAGUAUCAAGAGUCAAAAUCAAACCAAAAUUUUACUUUUUGUUACAACUUAACAUCUUUAUCUUAACCACCGAUUUUGCACCCCAUUGGGAAGUAAGCUGAUUUGCACAACUUUUUGAAUUCUGUUUUGCAAAGAGCAAUCAAUACAUUUUAGGCCUCUAAUGAUUAAAAGUUACUAUUAAAUGAAACUGUUGAUGAAGCUUGCUUUCUGUUGGCAGAAAUGUUGGACUUAAAACUCCGUUGGCACAGGUUCAGUCUCUGUUAAUUAGUUGAAGGGUCAGCAAUCGGUGGACAUAAAGGCACUGAUCUUGAACGACAAUUCAGUUCUCUAAUUGUUUGACAUUAAUUUGAUGUUUUUCUUGCACACAGGGAAGGAAGCUGGAUUCAACGUUUUAAUUACUUUUGCUCGUUUGAGUUUAAAACAAGAGGAGCGCCAUACCCCAGAAAUGGAUGACAGGCGAUUCUUUGAGAAAUUCAGGACCUUCCUCGCGUAUGGCUGUGUGGAUCGCAUGUGCGAAGACAUUAUCGGUGCUUUUGCCUA
Long non-coding RNA from Cucurbita maxima (winter squash), 1423 nucleotides. RefSeq lists it as uncharacterized. The transcript has 5 exons. The record is from RefSeq and is a predicted model, not a curated record. Lineage: Eukaryota; Viridiplantae; Streptophyta; Magnoliopsida; Cucurbitales; Cucurbitaceae.